GAAAGCAAAGUAUGUAUAUUUGUAUGCUUUGACUCUGAUCCGAGAAUGUUUAGUUCAUACUUGAAAUGAAAAUCAGAAUAAAAAUUUACGAUUUUUGAAAGAAGAUUUUGAUUAAGAAAAAUGAAACUGAUAAAGAGAGAGGAAAUAGGUGUCGGUAAAAAAGAAUUUUGAAUAAUUUACUAUAAAAUGAACUAAUCAGAAAUUUAAAGCCGGAUUGAACUAUAAAUAGAUUUAGUCAUCUCCAUUCCGGGAUGGAAUGAAAACCGAAAUUCGAUUCUUAUAAAAUAAAUAACAAUUAUCGAACUCAAUGAAUUUUAUUAUAAUAUUAUAAUUUAAAAUAGGUGAAUCAAACGUAUACUUCUUGAUCAGUACCGUUUGGUUCGGGUAUAAGCAAGAACUAGCUAUUACAGGGAUAGGUACAAGUAUGGGGAUAAGAAAAAUAGUGUUUGGAUGAAAAUUGGGUUGUUCCCGGGAAUAAGAAUAAUUUUAGAUAGUUUUAUAUAGAAAAUGAAGGUGUUGGUGGAGAUAACCGAGAACUACUAUUCUCGGAUAAAAAAUUACCGUUUGGGUAUAAAGGGAGGAUAAAGGCCUAUUCGUAUUCCUAUUCUCUAACCAAACGCUUCAGAGUCUCUAGCCAUGGAAAAGAUGAAUUUUAA
This 656-nucleotide long non-coding RNA is filed under the name Ananas comosus (pineapple). RNAcentral's name for it is "long non-coding RNA (ACOM_LNC007807)". Lineage: Eukaryota; Viridiplantae; Streptophyta; Magnoliopsida; Poales; Bromeliaceae. The record is from RNAcentral.